CCUACGGGAGGCAGCAGUGGGGAAUAUUGCACAAUGGGGGAAACCCUGAUGCAGCGACGCCGCGUGAGUGAAGAAGUAUUUCGGUAUGUAAAGCUCUAUCAGCAGGGAAGAAAAUGACGGUACCUGAUUAAGAAGCUCCGGUUAACUACGUGCCAGCAGCCGCGGUAAUACGUAGGGGGCAAGCGUUAUCCGGAUUUACUGGGUGUAAAGGGAGCGUAGACGGCAGCACAAGUCUGGAGUGAAAUGCCGGGGCUUAACCCCGGAGCUGCGUUGGAAACUGUGCAGCUAGAGUGAAGGAGAGGUAAGUGGAAGUCCUAGUGUAGCGGUGAAAUGCGUAGAUAUUAGGAGGAACACCAGUGGCGAAGGCGGCUUGCUGGACUGUAACUGACGUUGAGGCUCGAAAGCGUGGGGAGCAAACAGGAUUAGAUACCCCAGUAGUC
This 440-nucleotide ribosomal RNA is filed under the name uncultured bacterium. Its description in RNAcentral is "partial 16S ribosomal RNA". It matches the Rfam family "Bacterial small subunit ribosomal RNA", at positions 338 to 795 of the family's 1533-position model. The record is from RNAcentral.